This 1858-nucleotide long non-coding RNA is filed under the name Oryza sativa (Asian cultivated rice). Its description in RNAcentral is "long non-coding RNA (OSAT_LNC001990)". The record is from RNAcentral. Lineage: Eukaryota; Viridiplantae; Streptophyta; Magnoliopsida; Poales; Poaceae.
GGCGGGAUAUUUGUAUUGAAAUAGAAUUUAAAAAUCCAAGUACACUUUGUGAGAUAAAAAAAAAUAAGCAAAGAAGGGAAACUGACGCAAUACCAACUGCAGUCUGAAAUUCUGGAUGAUAGUGGAGCAACUUUUGCAAGGAAUAAUCUGAUAGCAAUGCUUCACUUUGAGUGCAUUGAGACCCCCUCAUGUAAAACACCACAAUAGUGCCUGACAGAAAAUAGGAGUAUAUUGAUCAAACGCUAGCUUCCAAAUCUAUGGGGGCAAGAAGAACAAUACUGAAAAUACUCAAUGCAGUCCUUGUCUUACAUAUAUAUAUAUAGACACACACACACACACUACAGAUGGAAGUUUGAAGAUCAUCAUCAUAUCUAAAAAAACAGGAUUCACCUAAGAUACAAAGACAUGAUGCUACCUCAGAAGAGGAAAUAUGAUUCAUGAAAGAUACAAAAGACAUGAUGCUACCUCAGAAGAGGAAAUAUAAUUCAUGAAAAGUUGAUAAAUUAUGCAGUUUCUCAGUACAUGAGGAAGAUAAACAUGUUAUAUGAAUCAAUGUAAGUUUGAGGUAAAAUAAACUGUAACAUAUUUUAAGUUAAUUUGAGAAUUUUGAGAUCAUACUAUUAUGACUUAAAUUGUGAACUCAGGUCAGGUAAUAUUUGGUAAACAAAUCAAAGAAGACUGGGACCUAUACAAACUGUAGCUGGCACUUACAUUAUUGAUGGUUACUGAAAGAAUUGCCAAAGCCAUCUGAGCCAUGGCUUCACUGAAUCAUGCUUACAGGGCUGACUAAAGGAUCACCAAACUUUUGAUAAGUUGGGAAUUAUCUGCAGUUAUAUUUCAUCUUAUCAUUUAGUACUCCAAGUAUACAAGAUACAUAUAAAAUCAUUGAAUCACUAAAUGUCAUUCAGUGAUAGGAAUUAUUGAUUCACUAAACAUUGUUCAGUGAUAGGAAUUAUCUGUAGGGAUUCAGUGCAGCAAGUGUACUACUAAACUUUCCAUGUAACAUAAUAGAAUACUAAAACCUUAAAAUACAAAGGUGCUUGAUAGAUGCAAGGUAACCAGAAUAAUCACAAUAUGACAAAUAAAUAUGGAAAACAAAGGAGCAUAAUAAUAGAAAUUGUAUAGUUAGGGGAAAAAGGAUUAUAUUGUUACGUAUUACCGUCAAAGAAAUUUCCCCAUAAUAGUUCAACAACCUGGGUAAAACGGUUGUGGAUUACUUAAUCCAGUAAUAAACCCAAGACGAAAUCGAAGUAGUUAAUCCUGUGAAGAAAUUGAAGGGAAUAAUUAAACUGUUAGUGCAAAUACUGUUAUACAGGGAAAAAAGAAGGGACCAAUUUGGGAUACUGAAAUCGGUUGGAAAUUGAUAAUUGAAUCACGAAGAAAUUAGUGUGACUACACAAUUAGCAUCAAACAAUAUGUAUUAUAAAAAAAUUUAGCUGAAUGGGGAAAGAAGCUAUGCUGGAACAUGUGAGAUCGGCAAGCAGUGGACAACCUAGAGCAGAUCAAUCCAAGGAUGUGCUUGUAUGGAGGAGAAGCUACUAGCUGGCCGAGCAGAUUGAUCCAGCUGCUGUGUACCACUUUUCUUCAGCUGUUGUGUGUAUCAUCAUACAUAAAUAGGACGGGAAAGAAGGCCAGUAUAAAGCAAGCGGCGACGUACUGUUUCAAAAAACUGAAGAUGAAUAGAUGGGACUCGGGGAUCGAACGGUUUCCGUUUCAGCGUGCGCCCAACGAUGGUUCCCUUUCUCCAUACAAGCCAAGGAGGCGAAGAGGCUGGGAGGCGGCUGCUGGGGGUGUGAGGCACCUGCGGCGCUAGGGUGCGACGUCGCAGGGCAGAGCGGGAGGGGCGACUGCAGCGCUG